Molecule: ribosomal RNA, 512 nt
Filed under: uncultured Chloroflexota bacterium
Lineage: Bacteria; Bacillati; Chloroflexota
Description: bacterial SSU rRNA
Rfam family: Bacterial small subunit ribosomal RNA
Source: RNAcentral
CAAUGGGCGAAAGCCUGACCCAGCAACGCCGCGUGUGUGAUGAAGGCCUUCGGGUCGUAAAGCACUUUUCUGGGAGAUGAGAAAGGACAGUAUCCCAGGAAUAAGUCUCGGCUAACUACGUGCCAGCAGCCGCGGUAAAACGUAGGAGGCGAGCGUUAUCCGGAUUCACUGGGCGUAAAGCGCGUGCAGGUGGCGCGGUAAGUUGGGCGUGAAAUCUCCCGGCUCAACUGGGAGAGGUCGUCCAAUACUACCGUGCUUGAGAGCAGAAGAGGAAGAUGGAAUUCCCGGUGUAGUGGUGAAAUGCGUAGAUAUCGGGAGGAACACCAGUGGCGAAGGCGAUCUUCUGGUCUGUUUCUGACACUCAGACGCGACAGCUAGGGUAGUAAACGGGAUUAGAGACCCCGGUAAUCCUAGCCGUAAACGAUGUGAACUUGGCGUUGGUGGGUUAAACUCCAUCAGUGCCGUAGCAAACGCGAUAAGUUCACCGCCUGGGGACUACGGCCGCAAGGUUA